UGGGGAAUUUUGGACAAUGGGCGCAAGCCUGAUCCAGCCAUGCCGCGUGCGGGAAGAAGGCCUUCGGGUUGUAAACCGCUUUUGUCAGGGAAGAAAUCUUCUGAGUUAAUACCUCGGGAGGAUGACGGUACCUGAAGAAUAAGCACCGGCUAACUACGUGCCAGCAGCCGCGGUAAUACGUAGGGUGCAAGCGUUAAUCGGAAUUACUGGGCGUAAAGCGUGCGCAGGCGGUUUUGUAAGACAGAGGUGAAAUCCCCGGGCUCAACCUGGGAACUGCCUUUGUGACUGCAAGGCUUGAGUGCGGCAGAGGGGGAUGGAAUUCCGCGUGUAGCAGUGAAAUGCGUAGAUAUGCGGAGGAACACCGAUGGCGAAGGCAAUCCCCUGGGCCUGCACUGACGCCCAUGCACGAAAGCGUGGGGAGCAAAGCAGGAAUUAGAUACCCUGGUAGUCCACGCCCUAAACGAUGUCAACAUGGUUGUUGGAAGGUUCCUUCUCAGUAACGUAGCUAACGCGUGAAGUUGACCGCCUGGGGAGUACGG
This 539-nucleotide ribosomal RNA is filed under the name uncultured bacterium. RNAcentral's name for it is "partial 16S ribosomal RNA". It matches the Rfam family "Bacterial small subunit ribosomal RNA", at positions 355 to 885 of the family's 1533-position model. The record is from RNAcentral.